GGGGCCGUAGCUCAAUGGGAGAGCGUUCGGAUUACCGACCCGAAAGGUUGCCGGUUCGAUCCCGGUCGGCUCCA
RNAcentral lists this transfer RNA (74 nucleotides) under Acidobacteriota bacterium. RNAcentral's name for it is "Acidobacteria bacterium tRNA-Gly". It matches the Rfam family "tRNA". From Rfam's summary of the family: Transfer RNA (tRNA) molecules are approximately 80 nucleotides in length. Their secondary structure includes four short double-helical elements and three loops (D, anti-codon, and T loops). Further hydrogen bonds mediate the characteristic L-shaped molecular structure. tRNAs have two regions of fundamental functional importance: the anti-codon, which is responsible for specific mRNA codon recognition, and the 3' end, to which the tRNAs corresponding amino acid is attached (by aminoacyl-tRNA synthetases). tRNAs cope with the degeneracy of the genetic code in two manners: having more than one tRNA (with a specific anti-codon) for a particular amino acid; and 'wobble' base-pairing, i.e. permitting non-standard base-pairing at the 3rd anti-codon position. Lineage: Bacteria; Pseudomonadati; Acidobacteriota. The record is from RNAcentral.